Long non-coding RNA from Marmota flaviventris (yellow-bellied marmot), 216 nucleotides. RefSeq lists it as uncharacterized. The record is from RefSeq and is a predicted model, not a curated record. Lineage: Eukaryota; Metazoa; Chordata; Mammalia; Rodentia; Sciuridae.
ACCCUCCUGUCUCAGACCCCUGAAUUACUGGGAUUACAGUAUGCUAUUGCUGGUUCCCAGGUAGAGAGGGCAGAUGUCCCAGAGACCUCUCAUUCCACACGUGGGACCUUGGAGGCUUUCCCCUGCAGCAGCCACUGAAGGUUUGACAGCUGUCCAGGAGAAAAACUUCCAAUUCUCCAAUCCAGUCAAAUAUUAUGUCUUGCCACCAUCGUUUGA